UACAGGGGGUGCAAACGUUGCUCGGAAUCAUUGGGCGUAAAGCGCACGUAGGCGGUUCGUUAUGUCGGAUGUGAAAGCCCUUGGCUUAACCGAGGAAGUGCAUCCGAAACUGGCGAGCUAGAGUACGAAAGAGGAUCGCGGAAUUCCCGGUGUAGAGGUGAAAUUCGUAGAUAUCGGGAGGAACACCAGUAGCGAAGGCGGCACUCUGGGCCGGUACUGACGCUGAGGAGCGAAAGCGUGGGGAGCGAACAGG
Molecule: ribosomal RNA, 253 nt
Filed under: uncultured bacterium
Lineage: Bacteria
Description: partial 16S ribosomal RNA
Rfam family: Bacterial small subunit ribosomal RNA
Source: RNAcentral